GCUGGAAUUCGCCCUUAGAGUUUGAUCAUGGCUCAGGAUGAACGCUAGCGGCAGGCUUAAUACAUGCAAGUCGAGGGGCAGCGCGGGUAGCAAUACCUGGCGGCGACCGGCAAACGGGUGCGGAACACGUACAGAACCUUCCUUCGAGCGGGGAAUAGCCCGGAGAAAUCCGGAUUAAUACCCCAUAAUAUUUUUAGGUGGCAUCACCUGAUAAUUAAAGAUUUAUCACUUGAAGAUGGCUGUGCGGCUGAUUAGGUAGUUGGUGUGGGUAACGGCCCACCAAGCCUUCGAUCAGUAACUGGUGUGAGAGCACGACCAGUCACACGGGCACUGAGACACGGGCCCGACUCCUACGGGAGGCAGCAGUAAGGAAUAUUGGUCAAUGGACGCAAGUCUGAACCAGCCAUGCCGCGUGAAGGAUGAAGGCCCUCUGGGUUGUAAACUUCUUUUAUAUGGGACGAAAUGCAGUUAUUCUUAGCUGUUUGACGGUACCAUAGGAA
Molecule: ribosomal RNA, 500 nt
Filed under: uncultured copper smeltery bacterium D70
Lineage: Bacteria
Description: partial 16S ribosomal RNA
Rfam family: Bacterial small subunit ribosomal RNA
Source: RNAcentral